This is a long non-coding RNA of Brassica rapa (field mustard), 5660 nucleotides long. RefSeq lists it as uncharacterized. The record is from RefSeq and is a predicted model, not a curated record. NCBI's taxonomy places the organism in Eukaryota, Viridiplantae, Streptophyta, Magnoliopsida, Brassicales, Brassicaceae.
CUCUCUUCUUUGAUUUUUUUGGUUUAGAUUGUUUUUUAAUCUUUAGCUCACACCUUUUGAUCCAACCAAGAAAAAUAAGAAAGUUGUCACUAAGAAAUCAGGAUCCUGUCAAGUACUCAACAGAGUCACAGCCGGAGAAAUCUGAUCCCUUGCCUGGUAUGUUGACAUGUUUUUUCUGCCGUUUUUAUUUCUAUCAAUGGUGUAUCUACACUACUAUGUCUGAAUUAUUUUCCAUGUACCUAAUGAUGGCUUUGAAGGCUCAUUUGGUUGACUGAAGAAAAAGAAGAAGAUGCCAAUGAGUGUUUACGUUUCGUGUCUUUGAAACUGGUGUUUGCAUUAUUCUGUGCCGAUGUCCUCGAACCGAUGGAGAAAAAGCUGUUUGAGAUUAUGAUGAAAAAAAACUCUCAUUUAAGUUAUUCGAAGAUUUUGAAGCCAAUUGUGGCCGUUCUAACCUCUCUGUACGUACAUAUUUUGCAUCCAAAAUUUCAGAUGUUGUCCAGCUAAUCAGUGUUCAGUAUGUCACCGAACGCCCCGUCCUUCACGGAGCAGGAGUAGCAACCAUUGAGCGAGUGUUGGUUUACUUUCAACCUAAAGAGUGAGCAUUUUCGAGUUGAUGUAUAGUAAUACAAACCCUCACCUGUAUGACCAAUUGAGUUCAUCCUACUUUCAAUGAACAUAUGCAGGGGGCAUGUUAUGAACGUGUUGUGGGAUCAGGCUACAAACAAAUUCACAGAAAAUUCAGUGAAACUGCAGAUAUUCAUGUCAUGCUUUUAGUGACAACAGUCAACACCAAACAUAUUUGCGGUAAACAUUUAUCCUCCUCUUCCUAUAGUUUCCAAGUUUAUCUCAACAUUUUAGAUUUCACAUUAAAUUCCCCACUAAUAUGAGAUGAGCUCCCUUAACAUAAGUUGUUGCUCAAUAAGAAGUAAUUCCAAUUACUAAUAUUAGUGAUUCUACAGGGUUGCUACUUUAGAUUUAAAGGAGUUCAGGCAACCAAGUGACAUUUUCCUAAUCUCUUGAUUCGAAGUGGUAGUUCUAGAAAUUUUAAAAGCAGAAACCCUCUGAGAAAGGUAUCCUAAUAUUUUUGUGUGUUCAUUGCAGACUCUUGAAACUUAACAUUCAGCAAGAAUAGUUGUAGAGAGGCAUGUGUUUACAUGUUUUGACUACAGAAUCUGUCUAACGAUUCAAACUAUUCCCAGUAAUGAUCUCUGAUAUUUAAUUUUUGAUAUUUUUGGCGCUGUUCUGCUUAUUGACAAUUAUAGUUACUGGUCAACACGGACAUGAAGAUGCACUGACUCAAAGCUCUGUUUUUCUCAGUUUAAUCUCUUGAAUCAGUAUUAGUAAUGGGUUCAUGAUGAUUCUUUACGGUGUGUAGACGGUGGAUAGGUUGAUUGAAACUGGAGACAGUGAGCAUAAUUUUAAGAAAGCAAUCAUGGAGCAAGGAAGAGGGCAGGUUGGUAUUUAGUGCAAGAAAACAACUGUUAGGUGUAUCUCAAAUUAGGUUAUUUUCUGUAUCCGUUAGCAGAUACUAAAUAUUGGAUACACUUGCUGAGAUUCAGGAACGGCAUGAGACUUUCAGAGGCUUAGAGAAGAAACUCCUCCACACUGUAGGUUAUAAUAAAAAUGUUGAAUCUGAAGGUAUCAAACAAGAUGGUGAGCUAAUGAAUGCUUCUGAAAUCGUCCAGGUGCUACCAAUGGGAAAAAGGUGGAAGAGUUUCAAAAGAGUUUUUUUGCGCAUAGAGUGAACAUUAGUAUCUAAAGAGUUCUUAGAAAACCUUGAACCGUUGGCAUGGAGUGAACAUUAGUAUCUACAGAGCUUUUUUGCGCAUCUAUAUAUUAACUGUUCCCACUUUUUUGUGCAAGCUUGCUCUACGGUUUUCUUUUAGGACUUGAUCACUAUGGUCCUCACGUAGUUGUAACUAAUCAAAAUCUGUAAUGACAAAGACUGCAAAAAAAAGGCCCAUAAAUAUUAUUACUAUUAAUAAAAGAAAUUACUUCCAUAUCAAGCAAUCUGAAUACCAUCAAUAGAUUAAGAAAAACAAGAGAUGAGUGGGAAACAAAGAGUAGAGAAGAUUGAAGAAGAAGAAGAUGGUCAGCAAAGAAUUAUGGAAAGGCAAUAUUCAAGUUAACUACUCAUAAGAAGAAAAGGUCGAAUAACCCUUUUAGUUCGUCAGACUCUAGAGCUCAAAAGUUCCUAUGGAAGUAGAAGAAACUAAGAAGGAUAAUGUGAGAUCUGAGUUGAGGUUGGUCUCUUCUUCUACACAUCUUUGUGUUCUUAGAAGUUUUUUUUUUCUUUUUUUGCUAAAAAGAAGUUUUUAUAUAUUCUUCCCAUAUAUAUAACUUACUAGGGUCGGCCCGCCCUACGGGCGGGAUAUAUUUUACUUGUGAUCUAAGUUAUUAUUUUUAUAUGAUUUUGCUGUUUGUGUUUUAGGUUUCCAUUUGCAAGAGAUGUAUAUGAUAUAUUACUAAAAAAAGAUCACAUUACAUCACAUAAAUAGUAUAAAAAGACGAAAGAAUAGCUUGCUUUGUGCUCACUACAUGGCUCCAUAAAAUUAAAAUAAAAUGGUGAAAAUUUGGACCAUUUGUCGAUCUGUGCGUGUCAUCCGGCUAGAGCUUCCGCCCUGGCUUCGAUUCCUCUUGGUAACUCAUGGACGCCUUUAGUAGCAAGAAAAUACAGAUUUUCGUGGAUCUCGUAGUGAUUAGUCAUUGGGCAUAGAAAGCCUUUGGGAUCACACUAUGUUUAUCAAAAAAAAAUAGUAUCAGAAAAACAAAUGGUAUCAAUUUGAGACACUUAUUAAUAAAUGAUACAAAAUAUCGUUUUAACAUCAGUUAUUGUAAUUGAUGUUGUUAUUAACUUAUCUUUGUCUAUAUUAAUCUUUGUUAAACCAGUGAAGAUCAAUUAAAAGAUACAUUGUAUUUUCAUAUAUGUGUAAAAAUAUGCAGUUUACUCAAAAAUAAAAAUAAUUUUAAUUUUAACUAUUUUUCUGUUGUUCUUAUUAGAAAUCAAAGGUUUGAUAAAUUAAUAAAAGUCUCAAUAAUGUGAUUCUUUUACAUUUUUAGCGUUUGUUAUAUUUUUAUUAUAAAAGUAAGUAAAAUAAAAAUAUUUGACACUACAAUUUAAAUUCAAUACAUAAAUUAUGAAUUAUUUUUCAUUCUUAUAUAUUUGUCUUUGAAUGUGUUGGUACUUUUUCCCCUGGCCUAAAUUUGAGUGUGGUGAUAAAAUAUAGAAAACAUUUCUGUGAAAUUCUCUCUAUUUCUUUUUGUUGACUUGAGUUUAAAUGUAACUAAACAACAUAGUAAGUGGGAUUUCCUCUGUUUUUGAUAAUUUAUAUCUUUAUUUUUUAAAAUUAUAUAGUUUAGAUUAAAUUGUGUAUUUUAAUUAUUGAUUAAUAUUUCACCAAGUGCAAUUUGUUUACUAAAUUUUAUCGUAUAGAUAUAUGUUCUAUUGUUGUUAAAAAGGAUAUAUGUUCUAUUUUACUAUAUUGGUGGUCUUAUAAAAAGGCGACAGCCAUAGUUGUAGAAUGAGUUUAUGAUUGAGAAAUCACCAACGAUCACCACCCCUUUAUACAAAAGCACAUAACAAAGACAUAAGUCGUGAAAGGUUUGCUCAGUAGCGUGGUUGGAUGAGGUUAACAUAUGAAUAGUAUUGUAAAAAAGGACUGUUUAGUUUCAUGUUGUAUUGAUUAUUUUACAUUAUGGGAUAUUUGAAAGAGAUGGUGGAAUUUACGUCGUUAGAUAUAUAAGUUCGAACGUACGUGAGCUGUUUUUUAUAGAGCAGUUAGAGACAUUGAGCUAUUACGUUUGUUAAUGUGGAUGAUUUACAUUGAGCUAUUACGUUUGUUAUUACGUCUGUUUUUUUUUGUAAUUUUCUGUAAUGAAUAUUGGAUGAUUAUUGAUUUAUAUACUUCUAAAUUUUGGAAUUCAAAGAAAAUAUUUUUAUUCACCAUUUUUUUGUUUACAGUCAUUAACUUUGUUUUUAAGAACAAUCAGAUUAUUAUGGUCUUUGAAAUUAUGUUCUCUUUUUAUACUUUCUGACUUGAUAUACUUGGGUAAUGUACAUGAUUUCAGCGCUGGUUAAAGAGUUUUGAAGUGUUUUUUUUUAGAGAAAACAGUUUUGAAGUUGGGAAGAAUGUCAAGUUCUUGCAUUGAUGAGGUGAGUUCAGGGGCGGUCCUGGGCAUAGCGGACUGAAACACCGGCUUAGGGCCCCCAAAUUUUUUUAAAAAUUUUACAUAAGAAGGGGCCUCUAAAUUUGUAAAAAAAGUUUUUUUAUAAAACUCUUACUAAAUUGUUUUAGGCCCCCAGCAUCUCAGGGACGCCCCUGGGUGAGUUGAGUGAGUCAUUUUUUCUUAGGGAAAUGCAUCAUGUGGUCUCGUGAUAUUCGCGUUUAUCAGUUUUUAUUCUUGAGCGGAGACAUGUGUAGGCUUUAUAGAUUGUCCUUUUUGUUAUAUGAUAAUGUUGAUUGUUUGUUUGUUUCAAAGGCAAGCAAAAACUCUGUAGAAAAUAAACAAUGAUUCUUUUUAUAUAUUAGAAAUACAAAAUGUAGCAGUAGAUAACAACCAAGCUUGUACUUUUCUGCAACUAUAACUGUUUCUUAAACUGGCAGUUAAAAGAUGCUAAUCACAACAUUAGAUAGAAGCAAACAUGCUCACUUAGUCGUGAAGCAAGAGGUGAACUUUAGUAAUAGCUUCAGAAAUGCAAUUACUUCAGCAAAGGUAGAGCAGCAACUGUAAGUUCUUGCCUCUGGACUGGGUUUAGUCUGCUCAUUUCUCACUUUUGGCCUCUCAUAUCUUUAUGUUUGUAAGUACGUUGUGGCAGUACGUUGCGUCGUUGGCGAGAGUCCUCCCCUAUUGCCAUGGAAAGCACGUGAUACAUAUAUAAAGCUGGAAAUUCUAUUGACUGGUGAUCAUGUAACAAUUUUAAUAUUGCUCCACGAACGACAUAUGACUGAAAUUUGGCUUACAUAUUUGUGUAUUCUCUUUUCCAGCAAUAGAACCAUACACAUCCAUUCUUAUUUAAAAAAGGGCUACAUGUUUUCAAUCGUAAGAGUUAACAACACACAUUCAUCAAUGCUGGUUACAGCCACAACUAAUUUCUGCUCUCAACAAUUUAGCUUCAUUUGUUUCUUUACAGACAACCUCCCUGGAGUUUGACCAAACCGUUUAUCAUAUCCACGAUCUGAUGGCCAUAAGCAAAGAAUAUUAGGACGGCAAUUAGCAACCUUGCACAAAAGAAAUUGUGUUAUAACCAAUAGAAAGGUCGAGACAAACAUGUGCUUAGGUAGUAGAUGUCAUUCAACGGCUCAAGAUUCUUAUUGCAGCCAUAACAAAGAAAAAAAGAACAUGCAGUGUAAGGACGUGAACAAAUUGCUGCAUCACAAAAUGUAGCUGAUGACCCUUCUUAAAUGUCAAAUACCUUGGAAAAUAUACCCAUUUAUAUCAUGAAAAACCGACAAUCAUAUUUUAUUUUGAAAUCAGAAGUCAGAUAAAGCAAUUGAAGCCUUCACCGUUAUGGCUUUACAUAUCAUCAUCAAAAACUGUAUUAAAAUUGCAAAGAUUCUGAGAAUCCUUAAACUCUCCAAAGACAAAUAAGUUUCUCUCAAGUGAAACAAUAACAUAAUCUGCUCGACGAAACUCGUCAGAAUAUUGUUGAAUUACAAAAA